This is a non-coding RNA of Elaeis guineensis (African oil palm), 667 nucleotides long. The record is from RefSeq and is a predicted model, not a curated record. NCBI's taxonomy places the organism in Eukaryota, Viridiplantae, Streptophyta, Magnoliopsida, Arecales, Arecaceae.
AAGGAUAGAGAGAAAGAGGGUUGGAGAAGGUAAUAUUCUCGAUCAUGAAUCAAGGGGAAAUCAGCUAGAAGAAGAUGAUCUAUUUAUAACCUGAUUUGGAAGAAAAGAUUGCUGAUGGUAGGAAGGGAAAAAAAACUGUGUUAGUAGUUGUAGUGUUCCAGCUGAUUGAAGAGAAGUUGAGGGCUCAAGGGGUGCUUUGGGUGAGUCAAGCAUCAAGGUAGUGCAGUAGCUAUUAAGAGUGUUCAAAUAAUAUUCAGAGCAUGUUCUACUUCUUCAGAUUGCUCAAUGGCAUAGUAGAGGAUUCACAGUAUUUCCAGUUCACUGGCACUUGUGCUAAGGAAGUUGCCCGCUUGCACAUGUUCAACUGGUUCAAGAAUAUUCACUGGCACAUGCUUACAAGGUUGAUCCUCUUGUUCCCGAGUAUAUAUGUUUAAGACAAUGUACAACUUGUUCAGGUUUACAAGUUGUGCUCACGCUGAAGUUCCUUAUUUCAGACUCUAUGCAAUAGUGUCAUACUGAUUGAGACAAUGGAUUUACAAAUUGUAUUCAAUUUGAGUUCAACUUGUUCAGAUAAUGGCUUGCUACCAACAAUGGUUUGCAGUUCUAUAAUAUUGAUUGUACAUAUCUAACACAAUAUUUAAAGCAGAGAUCGUUCUUUACUUUAUAA